CCGCCCCGGUUCCCGCCAGCGCCUCUCCCUCCACACCUCCCCACAAGCUGAGGGAGCCGGCUCCGGCCUUGGCCAGCCAAGAAAGGGGCUCCUACAGUGCAGCGGCGGGCUGAAGGGCUCAAGUGCCGCCAAAGUGGGAGCCCAGGCAGAGGAGGCGCCCAGAGCCAGCGAGGGCUGUGAGGACUGCCAGCAUGCUGUCACCUCUCAAUUACACACCAUGGUCAAAUCCUCUCAUAGUACAAGGUAUUUUAACAACUUGCAAAACCCCUAUCUGCAAUACUCAAGAAGACUAAUUUCAGAAUACUUAUCUGUGAAGCUGGAAAGCCAAAAUGAGAUUUCAGAGCCCUCACAGUGCUGGAGGAACAAAGUUGAACUUUAAGCUCAGCCAGGGUGCAGUGUACUAGGCUUUUGGUAACCCAUAGAAGUAUUUGAUCAGAGAUAUGAAAUAAUCAAUGCAAUUGUUUAAGAAGAUCAUCUGACAGUGGUGUACAGAUAUAUUGGAGUAAAAUAACACACACCAGUGAGAUGAGGUGGGAAGCAAGAACAAUUGUCCCCAUGAGAGACAAAUGCAUUAACAGUGGAAGCUGCUGAAAAGAUUUUCCAUUCAUGGAUUUUAAUGAGAAAGGAUGAAAAAUCAAAGUAGUUUUAAGGAUUAAGCAAAGGAUUGGGUAUGUAUUGUAUUAGAAAAUCUUACUGAUUUGCAUAUAAAAUAUAGGAUUAACUUGGUAUAAAUAUAUAUAUAAUAAAUACAUAAAAUAAAGAAUAACAGAAAAUGUUUCCACUCUUACAAAUGCAAAAAUAGAGAGAGAACAUCUGGUAGAGAGAGUAAUUAUAUUAGUAUUGAUCACAUUAUAAUAUUUAUAAUAAAGAAAAGUGUACAUUCUAACAAUUUAUUUUUUUCUAAAAACCUGCAUUUGUUAGUGGCAGGAAUUAUGCAACAAGAAAAUUAGUAUAUUUUAGAUAGUGAGUUUUAUUGCUAUACUUCUGGGCUGUGAAGGAGGCUUUUGUGAUUUACCACGGAC
RNAcentral lists this long non-coding RNA (1022 nucleotides) under Homo sapiens (human). Its description in RNAcentral is "HSALNT0019145". Lineage: Eukaryota; Metazoa; Chordata; Mammalia; Primates; Hominidae. The record is from RNAcentral.